UUUUAUAGGAUCUUCCACAUGCCUAAAAAUUCAUACUUAAAUCAAUAAAAUCAAAAAGAAAGUGUUAUAGGAAGCAGGCAAUAAAUAAAUAUGAAGCUAUGGAAUAUACCCAAUUUCCUCUUUUGUUCUAACAGUUACUCUAGAAUAAUAAUUUAUUUCAGAUACUAAAAAUUGUUAAGCUAAAAUAGUUCCUACUUCUGUCACAAUUCCUUUCAGAAAUGCAUUCAGGAGAACUGUUCUUACUGGUGGAAUGAAUCCCAAGAUUUAGAAGUUUUAGCUGCUGCUGAAAGAAUUCUCUCUAAAAUCGAAAUAAAAUGUUACUCUUCAGAUAUUGUCACAUUUCUUUAAAUAUGAAGGACUCAAACAUAACCUGAUAAUCAGGGAAGUCAAGGAACAAGUGAAUUGAGCAGGGGGCUCCUAGACUGUGAAGCACUCCACACUCCAGCAGCAACUGAGAGUCAAGGCCUGCUUGACCCAGAUAGCUCUCUUUGUAGGAGGAGCAAGCAGUCUCAAUUAAUCUGGACCUCGAGAUCUCUCAGAUACUGGACCACCAACCAGGCAGCAUACACCAGCUGAUAUGAGGCCCCCAACGCAUAUACAGUAGAGGACUGCCUGG
Molecule: long non-coding RNA, 616 nt
Filed under: Mus spicilegus (steppe mouse)
Lineage: Eukaryota; Metazoa; Chordata; Mammalia; Rodentia; Muridae
Description: lncRNA (ENSMSIG00000017011.1)
Source: RNAcentral